Molecule: ribosomal RNA, 753 nt
Filed under: uncultured bacterium
Lineage: Bacteria
Description: bacterial SSU rRNA
Rfam family: Bacterial small subunit ribosomal RNA
Source: RNAcentral
GAUGAACGCUAGCGACAGGCUUAACACAUGCAAGUCGAGGGGUAACAGGGGAGCUUGCUCCCGCUGACGACCGGCGCACGGGUGCGUAACGCGUAUACAACCUGCCUCAAAGCGAGGGAUAACCCAGAGAAGUUUGGACUAAUACCUCAUAGUAUAUAUUAGAGGCAUCUUUGAUAUAUUAAAGAUUUAUUGCUUUGAGAUGGGUAUGCGUAUGAUUAGCUAGUUGGUAAGGUAACGGCUUACCAAGGCUACGAUCAUUAGGGGUUCUGAGAGGAAGGUCCCCCACACUGGUACUGAGACACGGACCAGACUCCUACGGGAGGCAGCAGUGAGGAAUAUUGGUCAAUGGGCGAGAGCCUGAACCAGCCAAGUCGCGUGAAGGAAGACGGUCCUAUGGAUUGUAAACUUCUUUUGUACAGGAGUAAAGUGAGUUACGAGUAACUUUUUGCAAGUACUGUACGAAUAAGCAUCGGCUAACUCCGUGCCAGCAGCCGCGGUAAUACGGAGGAUGCGAGCGUUAUCCGGAUUUAUUGGGUUUAAAGGGUGCGCAGGCGGUAUUACAAGUCAGAGGUGAAAUCUUGGUGCUUAACAUUAAAAUUGCCUUUGAAACUGUAGUACUUGAGUGUAAAAGAGGUAGGCGGAAUGUGUUGUGUAGCGGUGAAAUGCUUAGAUAUAACACAGAACACCGAUUGCGAAGGCAGCUUACUAUAAUACAACUGACGCUCAUGCACGAAAGCGUGGGGAUCAAACAGG